UACAGAGGUCCCAAGCGUUGUUCGGAUUCACUGGGCGUAAAGGGUGCGUAGGUGGUGAGGUAAGUCGGAUGUGAAAUCUCCGAGCUCAACUCGGAAAUGGCAUUGGAAACUACCUUGCUAGAGGGUUGGAGGGGGAACUGGAAUACUUGGUGUAGCAGUGAAAUGCGUAGAUAUCAAGUGGAACACCAGUGGCGAAGGCGAGUCCCUGGACAACUCCUGACACUGAGGCACGAAAGCUAGGGGAGCAAACAGG
This 253-nucleotide ribosomal RNA is filed under the name uncultured bacterium. Its description in RNAcentral is "partial 16S ribosomal RNA". It matches the Rfam family "Bacterial small subunit ribosomal RNA", at positions 524 to 776 of the family's 1533-position model. The record is from RNAcentral.